This 366-nucleotide unclassified non-coding RNA is filed under the name soil metagenome. RNAcentral describes it as "partial contains 5.8S ribosomal RNA, internal transcribed spacer 2, and large subunit ribosomal RNA". The stretch from base 1 to 120 matches the Rfam family "5.8S ribosomal RNA", at positions 35 to 154 of the family's 154-position model. The record is from RNAcentral.
GAUGAAGAACGUAGCGAAAUGCGAUAACUAAUGUGAAUUGCAGAAUUCCGUGAAUCAUCGAGUCUUUGAACGCACAUUGCGCCCCCUGGUAUUCCGGGGGGCAUGCCUGUCCGAGCGUCAUUACAACCCUCAAGCCCGGCUUGUGUAAUGGGCGGCCGUCUCUCCCCCCGGGGGGAGACGCCCCCGAAACUCAGUGGGGAUGUCGCGAUACCGAAGCCUCAGCUAAUGGGUAAACCACAGCUGCAAGGGCCGCGGCCGGCGUCCGCCUUCCACGGUCCGUCCGCCUAGCGCGGGCGGCCUUCUCAAGGUUGACCUCGGAUCAGGUAGGGAUACCCGCUGAACUUAAGCAUAUCAAUAAGCGGAGGA